This is a long non-coding RNA of Macadamia integrifolia, 1999 nucleotides long. RefSeq lists it as uncharacterized. The record is from RefSeq and is a predicted model, not a curated record. NCBI's taxonomy places the organism in Eukaryota, Viridiplantae, Streptophyta, Magnoliopsida, Proteales, Proteaceae. The transcript is spliced from 3 exons.
UCUAUUAGGGGUGAGGAUCAGUAACUUCAGCUCCAUCAAGUCCUUUUGAUAUGGUGUCUUUUCAUUUUUAUCCUUAUUAAUUCCAGUUUGAGAUUGUCUAAAAUGGGUAAAGACUAAAAGCCUCAAAUUGACCUGUAGAAACUAUGCAGUUCCGUUGGGUUUUAAGUUGUCAUUGAGCUUUUUUUGGUGGAUGCAACUUUGAAAAGCAACGAUGGUUCAACCUUAUGCCAAUCCGAUGUUGAAAUAUUCACACCCAUUAAAAAGAAACAGGAAAGUUAGAAAUGUUGGGGCACAUUUGCCACCAUAGGCAUAUAUAUAGCUAAAAUAACAGUUUAAAGGUAGUCACUGGUACUAUUGGGGAUUUGAAGGAUAUGUUCCAUUAUUUACGAACUAAGAUAUUUUCUACGUUUCUUGGAUUCCAUUGUGUUUGGCUUCUGAUAGUUGUUGCCUACAAGAUAAUUGGUAACUUUCGAAAUUUUAAUGCUUCAAGUGACACUUAUUUGGACCUCCAUUUUAAUUUCUUUUCUUAUUUUCCUUCUUUCUGUUAUUUCUUCUUUUUGAUGGGGAUAUGGUUGUUGGUUAGUUCUUCACCUCAGUUCAGCCUUUGAUAAGCCCAAGAACACAGUUUAUUGAUCUUUAAUCUUCUGAGGUGUUCUUAAAAUCCACUAGAUGGGUGAAUAUUCUCAUGUUCUUGUUUAUCGAUGAACAUGCACUCUUGGCUCAAUAUUUUUUCCUGUAUUUUUGUUAUAUAUUGUUGACUGUAACAUAUAUGUAAGCAUUUCUCAGGGUUUUCCCUUUUUUUUUUUUUUUUGGACGGCCUGGCCUUGAGAUUAUAAGGAGUCCCCUCGUACUGUAAUAAUUCAAAUGUGCUUCAUUACAGUUUGUAUUUAGUUUUUCUGUCCAUUUAUUUGGGAUCAUGUGCUAACUGAACUCAACUGAUCUUAUCUCUUCUACAUGGGGGUUGGCUGCAAAAAUUCACCAGUCAACCUCGAUUAGGUUAAUAUUCUAGUUACUCAUUAUCAUUUGUCUUUAUCACCACUUCGAUCCAAGACAUUUUGGGUGCCUACUAACUCCUCCAACUUGUACCAUGCCACCUCUUGCUGUUGCACUCAUUGGUCUUAUUUGCACAUGGCUGAACCAUCUCUCACUUUCCCUUUUUCAUCACAUAUAAUGAUUAAAUUUCCUUGACUACAUUUAUUUCUGAUUCUAUCACAUCCUUAGACUUGGCACUAAUCCAUCUUAGUAUUCUCAUGUUAACAAUGUGUAUUAUAUAUUUACACUAAAUUUUGUGGAAUUUGGAUAUAUUAUGUGUUCAUUUUCUUAUUGCUAAUUCUGUGUUGUGUGUGCAUGUGUGUGUAUUAUAUCUUGUCCCCUCUUCAAAUCAGGUUGGGAUGCCUGUGAACUUGAGGGACUUUGUCUUAACCAGCCAUAGUAGUGAAGAGACUUGAGUAUGGAGUGAGCAACUAGUGGAUGCCGAAAGCGGAGGAGCAUGGCCAGGAUUGUGCGUGUGACUCUUGUGCAUAUGUAGCGCCAUGAGGUGUUCGGCGUAUUUUUGAUUAUGUUGAUACAGACAUCAUCCAAUAGACAUGUGGCUGCAAAUCAGGAAAAAGGGGAGCAGUUCUGAUUAACAGAACCAAGCAAAUGAUGUAUGCACCUCGCAGCAGCAAGCACAGACACCAACAGACCAUGAGACUCAACUCAAGGCAUCUCGCGAUGUAAGGUGGCAAAUGUGUAUCACUGGAUCAUAUAGUAAAAGCAUUUGUUCCUAUUGAUUGGGUUCUUCUAUUCAGAAUCCGUUAAAUUUUGGUGGUCACAUGAAUGGAUUUUUUAAUGCAACUGCAAUAAUUUUGAUUUGACCAAUAACCAUUAUGUUCCCUAGUUUUUAUUACCUUCUAAGAGUUGAAGGGCUUAACAGAUGAACCAAAAUAAUUGAAAUAUUUGUCCAACUGGCACAUCCCAGUAACUUCAUUGGUUACUCGACUUAGUAUUUUCUAACUCA